GAAUCAAAUACUGAUUUGUAAUUAACAUUAUAGUCGUCCCUUUGAGUUGAGAACUUUUCUCUGCCUGAGGCAUAGUACAAUAUACCUAGAUACUCCUCUCUUUGCCAAGCUCAUUUUGAAAUACUUUCCCCUCCAAAUUGGGAGUCCUUUGCUUCAUCAGUUUGAAGAUGCUCAAGUUCUGAAUUAGAAAUGUGACAUUCACCAUUUUUAGUAUUAGUGGAACUUCUAUGAUUUGUAGAGAAUUCCCAUGAGCUUAGUUGUCCAGUAUUUCACCUUCAAAAGGGAAAACAUAGGGCGCCUGGGUGGCUCAGUGGGUU
This is a long non-coding RNA of Lontra canadensis (Northern American river otter), 317 nucleotides long. RefSeq lists it as uncharacterized. The transcript is spliced from 3 exons. The record is from RefSeq and is a predicted model, not a curated record. Lineage: Eukaryota; Metazoa; Chordata; Mammalia; Carnivora; Mustelidae.